CCUACGGGGGGCAGCAGUGGGGAAUAUUGGACAAUGGUGGGGACCCUGAUCCAGCGAAGCCGCGUGAGUGAAGAAGUAUUUGGGUAUGUAAAACUCUAUCAGCAGGGAAGAAAAUGCCGGUACCUGACUAAGAAGCCCCGGCUAACUACGGGCCCGCAGCGGCGGUAAUACGUAGGGGGCAAGCGUUAUCCGGAUUUACUGGGUGUAAAGGGGGCGUAGACGGUGCAGCAAGUCAGAUGUUAAAGGUCGGGGCCCAAACCCGGGACUGCAGUGGAAACUGGUGAACUGGAGUACAGGAGAGGUAAGCGGAAUUCCUAGUGUAGCGGGGAAAUGCGUAGAUAUUAGGAGGAACACCAGUUGCGAAGGCGGCAUACUGGACUGUAACUGACGUUGAGGCACGAAAGCGUGGGGAGCAAACAGGAUUAGAUAACCUAGUAGUC
RNAcentral lists this ribosomal RNA (440 nucleotides) under uncultured bacterium. RNAcentral describes it as "partial 16S ribosomal RNA". It matches the Rfam family "Bacterial small subunit ribosomal RNA", at positions 338 to 795 of the family's 1533-position model. The record is from RNAcentral.